Molecule: ribosomal RNA, 446 nt
Filed under: uncultured bacterium
Lineage: Bacteria
Description: partial 16S ribosomal RNA
Rfam family: Bacterial small subunit ribosomal RNA
Source: RNAcentral
CCUACGGGGGGCUGCAGUCGAGAAUCAUUCACAAUGGGGGAAACCCUGAUGGUGCGACGCCGCGUGGGGGAAUGAAGGUCUUCGGAUUGUAAACCCCUGUCAUGUGGGCGCAAAUUAAAAAGAUAGUACCACAUGAGGAAGAGACGGCUAACUCUGUGCCAGCAGCCGCGGUAAUACAGAGGUCUCAAGCGUUGUUCGGAAUCACUGGGCGUAAAGCGUGCGUAGGCUGUUUCGUAAGUCGGGUGUGAAAGGCGCGGGCUCAACCCGCGGACGGCACAUGAUACUGCGAGACUAGAGUAAUGGAGGGGGAACCGGAAUUCUCGGUGUAGCAGUGAAAUGCGUAGAUAUCGAGAGGAACACUCGUGGCGAAGGCGGGUUCCUGGACAUUAACUGACGCUGAGGCACGAAGGCCAGGGGAGCGAAAGGGAUUAGAUACCCUUGUAGUC